Beta vulgaris subsp. vulgaris (sugar beet) is the source of this 107-nucleotide small nucleolar RNA. It matches the Rfam family "Plant small nucleolar RNA R71". From Rfam's summary of the family: R71 is a member of the C/D box family of snoRNAs containing the C (UGAUGA) and D (CUGA) box motifs. Multiple nearly identical copies of this snoRNA have been identified in Arabidopsis, and it is thought to function as a 2'-O-ribose methylation guide for 18S ribosomal RNA. The record is from Rfam. NCBI's taxonomy places the organism in Eukaryota, Viridiplantae, Streptophyta, Magnoliopsida, Caryophyllales, Amaranthaceae.
AUACCCAUGGUGCGGACACGAUCUUCGGAGGUCUUUGAACCUAUCCCAUGCCUCAUUCAAACUCUCAUCCUCAUCUUGUAUGAAAUUAGAGAUCUUCCUCCUAGCCU